Molecule: ribosomal RNA, 515 nt
Filed under: uncultured bacterium
Lineage: Bacteria
Description: bacterial SSU rRNA
Rfam family: Bacterial small subunit ribosomal RNA
Source: RNAcentral
AAUCAACGCUGGCGGCGUGCCUCAGACAUGCAAGUCGAACGCGAAAGUUCCCUUCGGGGAAUAAGUAGAGUGGCGCACGGGUGAGUAACACGUAGGUAAUCUACCUUCGGGUGGGGAAUAACCCAGGGAAACUUGGGCUAACACCGCAUGAUGCAGCGGCACCACAUGGUGACAGUUGUUAAAGCGGGGGAUUUUCGGACCUCGCGCCUGAAGAGGAGCCUGCGGCGGAUUAGCUAGNGGUGAGGUAACGGCUCACCAAGGUCACGAUCCGUAGCCGGCCUGAGAGGGCGGUCGGCCACACUGACACUGACAUACGGGUCAGACUCCUACGGGAGGCAGCAGUCGGGAAUUUUGGGCAAUGGGCGAAAGCCUGACCCAGCAACGCCGCGUGAAGGAUGAAAUCCCUCGGGAUGUAAACUUCGCAAGAAUGGGAAGAAUGAACGAGCGCUAAUACCGUUCGUGAUGACGGUACCAUUUGUAAGCUCCGGCUAACUCCGUGCCAGCCGCCGCCGUAA